This 470-nucleotide ribosomal RNA is filed under the name uncultured bacterium. RNAcentral describes it as "partial 16S ribosomal RNA". It matches the Rfam family "Bacterial small subunit ribosomal RNA", at positions 28 to 507 of the family's 1533-position model. The record is from RNAcentral.
GACGAACGCUGGCUGCGUGCUUAACACAUGCAAGUCGAACGCUGAAGCCCCAGCUUGCUGGGGUGGAUGAGUGGCGAACGGGUGAGUAACACGUGAGUAACCUGCCCCUGACUUCGGGAUAAGCCCGGGAAACUGGGUCUAAUACCGGAUACGACUAUCGGACGCAUGUCUGGUGGUGGAAAGUUUUUUCGGUUGGGGAUGGGCUCGGGGCCUAUCAGUUUGUUGGUGAGGUAAUGGCUCACCAAGACGACGACGGGUAGCCGGCCUGAGAGGGCGACCGGCCACACUGGGACUGAGACACGGCCCAGACUCCUACGGGAGGCAGCAGUGGGGAAUAUUGCACAAUGGGGGAAACCCUGAUGCAGCGACGCAGCGUGCGGGAUGACGGCCUUCGGGUUGUAAACCGCUUUCAGCAGGGAAGAAGCCUUCGGGUGACGGUACCUGCAGAAGAAGUACCGGCUAACUACGUG